CCUGGUGGCUCAGAGGGUUAAAGCGUCUGCCUCCAAUGCAGGAGACUCAGGUUCGAUCCCUGGGUCAGGA
This 70-nucleotide transfer RNA is filed under the name Bos taurus (domestic cattle). It matches the Rfam family "tRNA". From Rfam's summary of the family: Transfer RNA (tRNA) molecules are approximately 80 nucleotides in length. Their secondary structure includes four short double-helical elements and three loops (D, anti-codon, and T loops). Further hydrogen bonds mediate the characteristic L-shaped molecular structure. tRNAs have two regions of fundamental functional importance: the anti-codon, which is responsible for specific mRNA codon recognition, and the 3' end, to which the tRNAs corresponding amino acid is attached (by aminoacyl-tRNA synthetases). tRNAs cope with the degeneracy of the genetic code in two manners: having more than one tRNA (with a specific anti-codon) for a particular amino acid; and 'wobble' base-pairing, i.e. permitting non-standard base-pairing at the 3rd anti-codon position. Lineage: Eukaryota; Metazoa; Chordata; Mammalia; Artiodactyla; Bovidae. The record is from Rfam by way of RNAcentral.